GCCGGGCGCGGUGGCUCACGCCUGUAAUCCCAGCACUUUGGAGGCCGAGGCGGGUGGAUCACCUGAGGUCGGGAGUUCGAGACCAGCCUGACCAACAUGGAGAAACCCCGUCUCUA
RNAcentral lists this non-coding RNA (116 nucleotides) under Homo sapiens (human). Lineage: Eukaryota; Metazoa; Chordata; Mammalia; Primates; Hominidae. The record is from Rfam by way of RNAcentral.